RNAcentral lists this ribosomal RNA (332 nucleotides) under uncultured prokaryote. RNAcentral describes it as "bacterial SSU rRNA". It matches the Rfam family "Bacterial small subunit ribosomal RNA", at positions 26 to 352 of the family's 1533-position model. The record is from RNAcentral.
AGGACGAACGCUGGCGGCGUGCCUAACACAUGCAAGUCGAACGGGGUCCAUCCGGUGGCAACACUGGAGAAGACUCAGUGGCGAACGGGUGCGGAACACGUGAGCAACCUGCCCCGAAGAUCGGGAUAACGGCGGGAAACUGCCGCUAAUACCGAAUGCCCCCACGAGCCGCAUGGUUUGUGAGGAAAGGAUUCUGCUUCGGGAGGGGCGUCGCGGCCUAUCAGCUUGUUGGUGGGGUAACGGCCUACCAAGGCGACGACGGGUAGCUGGCCUGAGAGGACGAUCAGCCACACUGGGACUGAGACACGGCCCAGACUCCUACGGGAGGCAGC